GAUACAUGAUCCCUUAAUUCAGGCUCAGGCUGAAGAACUGACCCACUUACGACAGAAGAUACAGGAAGGGAGAGGUGUCUGCUACCUUUUCACCCAGCAUGUGAAGAACACAGUCAAGUCUUUUGAGGGCCUUCUCAGGAACACUGACAUUGCCUACUACCAGAGACAGAGAUUCUGUGAGCAAAUGGUACAAGGAAGCCAGCUGACAGAGAUCCUUGUCAGAAAACUUGCCACAGAGUCUUGCUCUCUUACCCAAGCUGGAGUGCAGUGACAUGAUCUUGGCUGACUGCAAUCUGUGCCUCCUGGGCUCAAGCAAUCUUCCCACCUCAGCCUCCCAAGUAGCUGGGACUACAGAAUCAACCCCAAUGCUCACUAACAAACUGAGAAGAAAAAAAAAGAAUUACCCCCAACAACAUCUGAGGAAGCACAACAGGGACAGACUUGAAGGCACCUGGGCAGUCCUCUGGUUUUGGAGUAGAGAAAAUCACAAUGGUAAGAAAAAUGAAGACAGGCAAAAGCCACUGGCUCCCAGGAUGCACCUCUAACCUCUACAGGCAAAUCAUAGAUUCCAUUGUCCAGCUGUAUAAUGAAAACAGAGUUCUCAGAGAAGAAUACCGGAGACUCCCCCGACUUGCCUGAAUCAAAUUUCCAGAG
Molecule: long non-coding RNA, 654 nt
Filed under: Homo sapiens (human)
Lineage: Eukaryota; Metazoa; Chordata; Mammalia; Primates; Hominidae
Description: non-protein coding lnc-PPIAL4C-4:27
Source: RNAcentral